Molecule: ribosomal RNA, 425 nt
Filed under: uncultured bacterium
Lineage: Bacteria
Description: bacterial SSU rRNA
Rfam family: Bacterial small subunit ribosomal RNA
Source: RNAcentral
GUGGGGAAUUUUGCGCAAUGGGGGAAACCCUGACGCAGCGACGCCGCGUGGAGGACGAAGGCCUUCGGGUUGUAAACUCCUUUUAUGAGGGAAGAUGAUGACGGUACCUCAUGAAUAAGCCACGGCUAACUCUGUGCCAGCAGCCGCGGUAAGACAGAGGUGGCAAGCGUUGUUCGGAAUCACUGGGCUUAAAGGGCGUGUAGGCGGUUUGGUAAGUCUGAAGUGGAAUCCCACGGCUCAACCGUGGAAUUGCUUUGGAAACUGCUUAACUUGAGUCAGCGAGGGGAUGGCGGAAUUCCUGGUGUAGCAGUGAAAUGCGUAGAUAUCAGGAGGAAGGCCGGUGGCGAAGGCGGCCAUCUGGCGCUUGACUGACGCUGAGACGCGAAAGCGUGGGGAGCAAACAGGAUUAGAUACCCGAGUAGUCC